RNAcentral lists this ribosomal RNA (383 nucleotides) under uncultured eukaryote. RNAcentral describes it as "SSU rRNA". It matches the Rfam family "Eukaryotic small subunit ribosomal RNA", at positions 587 to 972 of the family's 1831-position model. The record is from RNAcentral.
AGCUCUGUAAGCGUAUACCAAAGUUGUUGCAGUUAAAACGCUCGUAGUCGGACAUUGGCAAUUCCGGGAGUGUGCGCGUCGUGUGCGCACUCUGCGGGGAUUGCUUUAGUGGAUCUGUGCAGGGAUGAAGCAUUUUAAUUAAUGAACGUUCAGCGCAACCACAAUUUACUGUGAGAAAAUCAGAGUGCUCAAAGCAGGCAUUUGCCGUGAAUGUAUUAGCAUGGAAUAAUAGAAUAGGACUUGUUUCUAUUUUGUUGGUUUGUUGGGAAUGAGUAAUGAUUAAGAGGGACAGUUGGGGGCAUUUGUAUUACGGCGCUAGAGGUGAAAUUCUUAGAUUGCCGUAAGACAAACAGCUGCGAAAGCGUCUGCCAAGGAUGUUUUCA